UGACUUCAAUGCUCAUCAAUGGAUGAAUGGAUAAACAAAGUGAGGACUUGUGAUGGGUGCCUCGUUUACUUACUCCUAGCAGGAGGAAACACGUGAGCAACCAAGUGCGAGAACUGGAGUGAAGGAGCACUGAAUUCACCUGACCGCUUUGGUGCCAGAGGGACCAAACUCCACUUACCUGCAUCUGCUGCGUUCCACCCCUUGCAAUGGGGAGUACACAGAGUCUCAUUCUGUCUCCCAGCUUGGAGUGCAAUGGCACGAUAUCAACUCACUGGAACUUCCAUCCCCUGGUUUCAAAUGAUUUUCCUGCUUCAGCCUCCAGAGUGUCUGGUAUGACAAGCGUGAGCCACUACAGUCAGCUAGUUUUUGUAUUUGCAGUGGAGACAGGGUUUUGCCUUGUUGGCUAG
Molecule: long non-coding RNA, 407 nt
Filed under: Callithrix jacchus (white-tufted-ear marmoset)
Lineage: Eukaryota; Metazoa; Chordata; Mammalia; Primates; Cebidae
Description: lncRNA (ENSCJAG00000078894.1)
Source: RNAcentral